RNAcentral lists this transfer RNA (78 nucleotides) under compost metagenome. RNAcentral's name for it is "tRNA-Pro". The record is from RNAcentral.
GCGCCUGUUUGGCGAGGCGUUGUCCGGCACCUGGGAAGCGCUGCUGGACCGGCGCGCCGAUUUGCUGGUGGGCGCGCC